ACUUGACUAGCUGAGAGGAGGUGCAUGGCCGUCGUCAGUUCGUACUGUGAAGCAUCCUGUUAAGUCAGGCAACGAGCGAGACCCACGCCCACAGUUGCCAGCGUACUCUCUGGAGUGACGGGUACACUGUGGGACCGCCGCUGCUAAAGCGGAGGAAGGAAUGGGCAACGGUAGGUCAGUAUGCCCCGAAUAUCCCGGGCUACACGCGAGCUACAAUGGUUGGUACAAUGGGUAUCUACCCCGAAAGGGGACGGGAAUCUCCUAAAACCAAUCUUAGUUCGGAUUGAGGGCUGCAACUCGCCCUCAUGAAGCUGGAAUCCGUAGUAAUCGCGUUUCAACAGAACGCGGUGAAUACGUCCCUGCUCCUU
Molecule: ribosomal RNA, 368 nt
Filed under: uncultured Methanosaeta sp.
Lineage: Archaea; Methanobacteriati; Methanobacteriota; Methanomicrobia; Methanotrichales; Methanotrichaceae
Description: bacterial SSU rRNA
Rfam family: Archaeal small subunit ribosomal RNA
Source: RNAcentral